Molecule: long non-coding RNA, 6795 nt
Organism: Oncorhynchus keta (chum salmon)
Lineage: Eukaryota; Metazoa; Chordata; Actinopteri; Salmoniformes; Salmonidae
Exons: 19
Source: RefSeq, a predicted model, not a curated record
UGUUAAUAUGUUGAUAACAAGGGCAGGUUAAUAUGUUGGAUGACAAGGGCAGGUUAAUAUGUUGGAUAACAAGGGCAGGUUAAUAUGUUGGAUAACAAGGGCAGGUUAAUAUGUUGAUAACAAGGGCAGGUUAAUAUGUUGAUGACAAGGGCAGGUUAAUAUGUUGACAACAAGGGCAGGUUAAUAUGUUGAUAACAAGGGCAGGUUAAUAUGUUGAUAACAAGGGCAGGUUAAUAUGUUGAUGACAAGGGCAGGUUAAUAUGUUGAUAACAAGGGCAGGUUAAUAUGUUGGAUAACAAGGGCAGGUUAAUAUGUUGAUAACAAGGGCAGGUUAAUAUGUUGAUGACAAGGGCAGGUUAAUAUGUUGGUGACAAGGGCAGGUUAAUAUGUUGAUGACAAGGGCAGGUUAAUAUGUUGAUAACAAGGGCAGGUUAAUAUGUUGAUAACAAGGGCAGGUUAAUAUGUUGAUGACAAGGGCAGGUUAAUAUGUUGAUGACAAGGGCAGGUUAAUAUGUUGAUGACAAGGGCAGGUUAAUAUGUUGGUGACAAGGGCAGGUUAAUAUGUUGGAUAACAAGGGCAGGUUAAUAUGUUGAUAACAAGGGCAGGUUAAUAUGUUGAUGACAAGGGCAGGUUAAUAUGUUGAUAACAAGGGCAGGUUAAUAUGUUGGUGACAAGGGCAGGUUAAUAUGUUGAUAACAAGGGCAGGUUAAUAUGUUGAUAACAAGGGCAGGUUAAUAUGUUGGUGACAAGGGCAGGUUAAUAUGUUGGAUAACAAGGGCAGGUUAAUAUGUUGAUAACAAGGGCAGGUUAAUAUGUUGAUAACAAGGGCAGGUUAAUAUGUUGAUAACAAGGGCAGGUUAAUAUGUUGAUAACAAGGGCAGGUUAAUAUGUUGAUAACAAGGGCAGGUUAAUAUGUUGAUAACAAGGGCAGGUUAAUAUGUUGAUGACAAGGGCAGGUUAAUAUGUUGAUGACAAGGGCAGGUUAAUAUGUUGAUAACAAGGGCAGGUUAAUAUGUUGAUAACAAGGGCAGGUUAAUAUGUUGAUAACAAGGGCAGGUUAAUAUGUUGAUGACAAGGGCAGGUUAAUAUGUUGAUAACAAGGGCAGGUUAAUAUGUUGAUAACAAGGGCAGGUUAAUAUGUUGAUAACAAGGGCAGGUUAAUAUGUUGAUAACAAGGGCAGGUUAAUAUGUUGAUAACAAGGGCAGGUUAAUAUGUUGAUGACAAGGGCAGGUUAAUAUGUUGGUGACAAGGGCAGGUUAAUAUGUUGGUGACAAGGGCAGGUUAAUAUGUUGGAUAACAAGGGCAGGUUAAUAUGUUGGAUAACAAGGGCAGGUUAAUAUGUUGAUAACAAGGGCAGGUUAAUAUGUUGAUGACAAGGGCAGGUUAAUAUGUUGAUGACAAGGGCAGGUUAAUAUGUUGAUGACAAGGGCAGGUUAAUAUGUUGGUGACAAGGGCAGGUUAAUAUGUUGAUAACAAGGGCAGGUUAAUAUGUUGAUAACAAGGGCAGGUUAAUAUGUUGAUAACAAGGGCAGGUUAAUAUGUUGAUAACAAGGGCAGGUUAAUAUGUUGAUAACAAGGGCAGGUUAAUAUGUUGGUGACAAGGGCAGGUUAAUAUGUUGGUGACAAGGGCAGGUUAAUAUGUUGAUAACAAGGGCAGGUUAAUAUGUUGAUAACAAGGGCAGGUUAAUAUGUUGAUAACAAGGGCAGGUUAAUAUGUUGAUGACAAGGGCAGGUUAAUAUGUUGGUGACAAGGGCAGGUUAAUAUGUUGAUAACAAGGGCAGGUUAAUAUGUUGAUAACAAGGGCAGGUUAAUAUGUUGAUAACAAGGGCAGGUUAAUAUGUUGAUAACAAGGGCAGGUUAAUAUGUUGAUGACAAGGGCAGGUUAAUAUGUUGGUGACAAGGGCAGGUUAAUAUGUUGAUGACAAGGGCAGGUUAAUAUGUUGAUAACAAGGGCAGGUUAAUAUGUUGGUGACAAGGGCAGGUUAAUAUGUUGAUAACAAGGGCAGGUUAAUAUGUUGAUAACAAGGGCAGGUUAAUAUGUUGGUGACAAGGGCAGGUUAAUAUGUUGAUAACAAGGGCAGGUUAAUAUGUUGAUAACAAGGGCAGGUUAAUAUGUUGGUGACAAGGGCAGGUUAAUAUGUUGAUAACAAGGGCAGGUUAAUAUGUUGGAUAACAAGGGCAGGUUAAUAUGUUGGUGACAAGGGCAGGUUAAUAUGUUGGAUAACAAGGGCAGGUUAAUAUGUUGAUAACAAGGGCAGGUUAAUAUGUUGAUAACAAGGGCAGGUUAAUAUGUUGAUGACAAGGGCAGGUUAAUAUGUUGAUGACAAGGGCAGGUUAAUAUGUUGGUGACAAGGGCAGGUUAAUAUGUUGAUAACAAGGGCAGGUUAAUAUGUUGAUAACAAGGGCAGGUUAAUAUGUUGAUAACAAGGGCAGGUUAAUAUGUUGAUAACAAGGGCAGGUUAAUAUGUUGGUGACAAGGGCAGGUUAAUAUGUUGGUGACAAGGGCAGGUUAAUAUGUUGAUAACAAGGGCAGGUUAAUAUGUUGAUAACAAGGGCAGGUUAAUAUGUUGAUAACAAGGGCAGGUUAAUAUGUUGAUAACAAGGGCAGGUUAAUAUGUUGAUAACAAGGGCAGGUUAAUAUGUUGAUAACAAGGGCAGGUUAAUAUGUUGAUAACAAGGGCAGGUUAAUAUGUUGAUAACAAGGGCAGGUUAAUAUGUUGAUAACAAGGGCAGGUUAAUAUGUUGAUAACAAGGGCAGGUUAAUAUGUUGAUAACAAGGGCAGGUUAAUAUGUUGAUGACAAGGGCAGGUUAAUAUGUUGGAUAACAAGGGCAGGUUAAUAUGUUGAUAACAAGGGCAGGUUAAUAUGUUGAUAACAAGGGCAGGUUAAUAUGUUGAUGACAAGGGCAGGUUAAUAUGUUGAUGACAAGGGCAGGUUAAUAUGUUGAUAACAAGGGCAGGUUAAUAUGUUGAUGACAAGGGCAGGUUAAUAUGUUGAUAACAAGGGCAGGUUAAUAUGUUGAUGACAAGGGCAGGUUAAUAUGUUGAUGACAAGGGCAGGUUAAUAUGUUGGAUAACAAGGGCAGGUUAAUAUGUUGAUAACAAGGGCAGGUUAAUAUGUUGAUAACAAGGGCAGGUUAAUAUGUUGAUAACAAGGGCAGGUUAAUAUGUUGGAUGACAAGGGCAGGUUAAUAUGUUGGAUAACAAGGGCAGGUUAAUAUGUUGAUAACAAGGGCAGGUUAAUAUGUUGAUAACAAGGGCAGGUUAAUAUGUUGAUGACAAGGGCAGGUUAAUAUGUUGAUGACAAGGGCAGGUUAAUAUGUUGAUGACAAGGGCAGGUUAAUAUGUUGAUAACAAGGGCAGGUUAAUAUGUUGAUAACAAGGGCAGGUUAAUAUGUUGAUAACAAGGGCAGGUUAAUAUGUUGAUAACAAGGGCAGGUUAAUAUGUUGAUAACAAGGGCAGGUUAAUAUGUUGAUGACAAGGGCAGGUUAAUAUGUUGAUGACAAGGGCAGGUUAAUAUGUUGGAUAACAAGGGCAGGUUAAUAUGUUGAUGACAAGGGCAGGUUAAUAUGUUGAUGACAAGGGCAGGUUAAUAUGUUGGAUAACAAGGGCAGGUUAAUAUGUUGAUGACAAGGGCAGGUUAAUAUGUUGAUAACAAGGGCAGGUUAAUAUGUUGAUAACAAGGGCAGGUUAAUAUGUUGAUGACAAGGGCAGGUUAAUAUGUUGAUAACAAGGGCAGGUUAAUAUGUUGAUGACAAGGGCAGGUUAAUAUGUUGAUAACAAGGGCAGGUUAAUAUGUUGAUAACAAGGGCAGGUUAAUAUGUUGAUAACAAGGGCAGGUUAAUAUGUUGAUGACAAGGGCAGGUUAAUAUGUUGAUGACAAGGGCAGGUUAAUAUGUUGAUGACAAGGGCAGGUUAAUAUGUUGAUAACAAGGGCAGGUUAAUAUGUUGAUAACAAGGGCAGGUUAAUAUGUUGAUAACAAGGGCAGGUUAAUAUGUUGAUAACAAGGGCAGGUUAAUAUGUUGAUGACAAGGGCAGGUUAAUAUGUUGGUGACAAGGGCAGGUUAAUAUGUUGGAUAACAAGGGCAGGUUAAUAUGUUGAUAACAAGGGCAGGUUAAUAUGUUGAUGACAAGGGCAGGUUAAUAUGUUGGAUAACAAGGGCAGGUUAAUAUGUUGAUAACAAGGGCAGGUUAAUAUGUUGAUGACAAGGGCAGGUUAAUAUGUUGAUAACAAGGGCAGGUUAAUAUGUUGAUAACAAGGGCAGGUUAAUAUGUUGAUGACAAGGGCAGGUUAAUAUGUUGAUAACAAGGGCAGGUUAAUAUGUUGAUGACAAGGGCAGGUUAAUAUGUUGAUAACAAGGGCAGGUUAAUAUGUUGAUGACAAGGGCAGGUUAAUAUGUUGAUAACAAGGGCAGGUUAAUAUGUUGAUAACAAGGGCAGGUUAAUAUGUUGAUAACAAGGGCAGGUUAAUAUGUUGAUAACAAGGGCAGGUUAAUAUGUUGAUGACAAGGGCAGGUUAAUAUGUUGAUGACAAGGGCAGGUUAAUAUGUUGAUGACAAGGGCAGGUUAAUAUGUUGAUGACAAGGGCAGGUUAAUAUGUUGAUGACAAGGGCAGGUUAAUAUGUUGAUGACAAGGGCAGGUUAAUAUGUUGAUGACAAGGGCAGGUUAAUAUGUUGAUAACAAGGGCAGGUUAAUAUGUUGAUAACAAGGGCAGGUUAAUAUGUUGGAUAACAAGGGCAGGUUAAUAUGUUGAUAACAAGGGCAGGUUAAUAUGUUGAUAACAAGGGCAGGUUAAUAUGUUGAUAACAAGGGCAGGUUAAUAUGUUGAUAACAAGGGCAGGUUAAUAUGUUGAUGACAAGGGCAGGUUAAUAUGUUGAUGACAAGGGCAGGUUAAUAUGUUGAUAACAAGGGCAGGUUAAUAUGUUGAUAACAAGGGCAGGUUAAUAUGUUGAUAACAAGGGCAGGUUAAUAUGUUGAUAACAAGGGCAGGUUAAUAUGUUGAUAACAAGGGCAGGUUAAUAUGUUGAUAACAAGGGCAGGUUAAUAUGUUGAUAACAAGGGCAGGUUAAUAUGUUGAUAACAAGGGCAGGUUAAUAUGUUGAUGACAAGGGCAGGUUAAUAUGUUGAUGACAAGGGCAGGUUAAUAUGUUGAUAACAAGGGCAGGUUAAUAUGUUGAUAACAAGGGCAGGUUAAUAUGUUGAUAACAAGGGCAGGUUAAUAUGUUGAUGACAAGGGCAGGUUAAUAUGUUGAUGACAAGGGCAGGUUAAUAUGUUGAUAACAAGGGCAGGUUAAUAUGUUGAUAACAAGGGCAGGUUAAUAUGUUGAUAACAAGGGCAGGUUAAUAUGUUGAUAACAAGGGCAGGUUAAUAUGUUGAUAACAAGGGCAGGUUAAUAUGUUGAUAACAAGGGCAGGUUAAUAUGUUGAUAACAAGGGCAGGUUAAUAUGUUGAUGACAAGGGCAGGUUAAUAUGUUGGAUAACAAGGGCAGGUUAAUAUGUUGGUGACAAGGGCAGGUUAAUAUGUUGGAUAACAAGGGCAGGUUAAUAUGUUGAUAACAAGGGCAGGUUAAUAUGUUGAUAACAAGGGCAGGUUAAUAUGUUGAUGACAAGGGCAGGUUAAUAUGUUGAUGACAAGGGCAGGUUAAUAUGUUGAUAACAAGGGCAGGUUAAUAUGUUGAUGACAAGGGCAGGUUAAUAUGUUGAUAACAAGGGCAGGUUAAUAUGUUGAUAACAAGGGCAGGUUAAUAUGUUGAUAACAAGGGCAGGUUAAUAUGUUGAUAACAAGGGCAGGUUAAUAUGUUGAUAACAAGGGCAGGUUAAUAUGUUGAUAACAAGGGCAGGUUAAUAUGUUGAUGACAAGGGCAGGUUAAUAUGUUGAUAACAAGGGCAGGUUAAUAUGUUGGAGGGGUACUAGAGAUCUUUAGUUAUUGGCUAGACUGAACAUGUAGAAGCAUUCUUUCAAUACACAGAUGAUUAUCUGAACUCUGAACCUGAAGUAAUUUAUUCUCUGUGACAAUAAGAUAGUAUGCUUACACACACACACACACACACACACACACACACACACACACACACACACACACACACACACACACACACACACACACACACACACUGUCCUUGACCCUGUUCCUGUCUACUGAUGGAGAAAACCUUCCCAUCGCUUCAGCCUAACUUUAAAAUGACCUCUCACACUAAUCUCUCCUCCACUUGACCUUCUCCUUUUUUGAUUUGUUUACACACAAUCAUUCCCCCCAUUCAUCACAGUCUGCACGGUGACAGUCUGCACGGUGACCGUUUACCCAUUCAGCAGUUAUCACGUCACUCACCAUGGAACUCCCUGAAUUAACCAGACGUUCUCUCCUACAUAUUUACUCUCGCUCUUUUUCUUGCCCUCACUCCCUCUAUUCCCAACUCAACUCCCAUCUCUCCCCAUUCCUCUUACUCUUUCUUUCCUUUCGCUCUGUCCUUUUUGCUCUAAUGCUCCCCCUUCUCUCUCUAUCAUUAGCUAAGUCAUUAAGUUAAACCAGCACCCAGAAGCCCUUUAAACCUCUGCAGCGUGACAUUAAGGUGCCGUUUUAGAAGUGUAGGUAAUCUGUGAGAGAGAAACAGUCUGGAGGGAACGAGACAGAAGAAGACUGUUUCUGAGACAAGACGGCCAUCAGAAAGAACAUGGCAGAAAGAGGGGGGAGGGAGAGGUGGUUAGAGAUGGAUGGAGGGUGAAAGAGAGCAGGGAAAUGGACCAGAAAGAGCGACGGGUGGAGAUGGAGGGAGAGAGGGAGAGAGAG